This 499-nucleotide ribosomal RNA is filed under the name uncultured bacterium. RNAcentral's name for it is "bacterial SSU rRNA". It matches the Rfam family "Bacterial small subunit ribosomal RNA", at positions 28 to 511 of the family's 1533-position model. The record is from RNAcentral.
GAUGAACGCUAGCUACAGGCUUAACACAUGCAAGUCGAGGGGAAACGAUAUUGGAAGCUUGCUUCCGAUAGGCGUCGACCGGCGCACGGGUGAGUAACGCGUAUCCAACCUGCCCAUCACUUGGGAAUAACCUUGCGAAAGUAAGACUAAUGCCCAAUGACAUUUAUAGAAGGCAUCUGAAAUGAAUUAAAGAUUUAUCGGUGAUGGAUGGGGAGUGCGUCUGAUUAGCUUGUUGGCGGGGUAACGGGCCCACCAAGGCGACGAUCAGUAGGGGUUCUGAGAGGAAGGUCCCCCACAUUGGAACUGAGACACGGUCCAAACUCCUACGGGAGGCAGCAGUGAGGAAUAUUGGUCAAUGGGCGAGAGCCUGAACCAGCCAAGUAGCGUGCAGGAUGACGGGCCCUAUGGGUUGUAAACUGCUUUUAUAAGGGAAUAAAGUGAGUCUCGUGAGACUUUUUGCAUGUACCUUAUGAAUAAGGACCGGCUAAUUCCGUGCCAG